This 454-nucleotide ribosomal RNA is filed under the name uncultured bacterium. Its description in RNAcentral is "bacterial SSU rRNA". It matches the Rfam family "Bacterial small subunit ribosomal RNA", at positions 340 to 786 of the family's 1533-position model. The record is from RNAcentral.
UACGGGAGGCAGCAGUGGGGAAUAUUGCACAAUGGGCGCAAGCCUGAUGCAGCCAUGCCGCGUGUAUGAAGAAGGCCUUCGGGUUGUAAAGUACUUUCAGUCGUGAGGAAGGUGUUAAGGUUAAUAACCUUAGCAAUUGACGUUAGCGACAGAAGAAGCACCGGCUAACUCCGUGCCAGCAGCCGCGGUAAUACGGAGGGUGCGAGCGUUAAUCGGAAUUACUGGGCGUAAAGGGCACGCAGGCGGUUAAUUAAGUUGGAUGUGAAAUCCCCGGGCUUAACCUGGGAAUGGCAUUCAAGACUGGUUAGCUAGAGUCUUGUAGAGGGGGUAGAAUUCCAUGUGUAGCGGUGAAAUGCGUAGAGAUGUGGAGGAAUACCGGUGGCGAAGGCGGCCCCUGGGACAAAGACUGACGCUCAUGUGCGAAAGCGUGGGGAGGCAAACAGGAUUAGAUACC